Molecule: long non-coding RNA, 482 nt
Filed under: Gopherus agassizii (Agassiz's desert tortoise)
Lineage: Eukaryota; Metazoa; Chordata; Testudines; Testudinidae
Description: lncRNA (ENSGAGG00000017049.1)
Source: RNAcentral
GCUCCGAGGUGGCCCAAUCAGAAAUCGGGAAAGGUGAAGGGCCUGUGCGCAAUCCGAAAGAGGCGAGGUUCUGAUGGAUCGGCAGCGCUUUGGACCAAUGAAAGUCGACAACAGCUUCUAUCUGUCGGCGAUGUAAGCGAGAAGAGAGGAUGAAAAGUUAGGCGGAGCUUAAGGUGACUGGCAGGUGGAUGGACAAUUUGUGUAUUGUCCAAUCAGCACUUCACACACAGGGACACGGGAGACGGAGGCGGGAUUUGGCGUGUAUGUGGAAGAGUGAGUACAACGAGAGUAAUCAUGCUAAAGCACCUAUCGCUAUAGCACAGUAAAACAGCGGAAGAUGCCAAAGGAAGAUGUCUUCAAGGAAAAGAAGGGAAGGAAUGUGAUGGAGGAAACCUGUCAAUUGAGAAGGGAAUGCUUUAGGGUAAGUGGACAGAGAAAAAGGAUCUACUAAUUCAGGUCUCACUGCCAUACCCAGCUGGAGG